Molecule: transfer RNA, 64 nt
Filed under: Laemobothrion sp.
Lineage: Eukaryota; Metazoa; Arthropoda; Insecta; Psocodea; Laemobothriidae
Description: tRNA-Trp
Source: RNAcentral
AAAGUUAUAGGUUAAGAAAAGACCAGUAUCCUUCAAAGAUAACAGUGGGGGAAUCCUAACUUUG